This 184-nucleotide non-coding RNA is filed under the name Vreelandella subglaciescola. RNAcentral's name for it is "6S RNA". It matches the Rfam family "6S / SsrS RNA". Rfam says of the family: E. coli 6S RNA was the first non coding RNA to be sequenced, but its function was unknown until recently. It consists of 184 nucleotides that fold into an extended hairpin structure with a large single-stranded internal bulge. The record is from RNAcentral. Lineage: Bacteria; Pseudomonadati; Pseudomonadota; Gammaproteobacteria; Oceanospirillales; Halomonadaceae.
UGUUCUCUGGGGUGUGCGCCAGUCGUUUAUCGUCCCUCGAGCCUAUGCGUAAUACCCAGGGGGCCUAAUGCUAGCCAGACCCGUGUGCAUGUCCGCGCGACGGAAAGCCUGACGGUCUGGCUGCGGCCACCCACCUGAACCUUUAGGUUCAGGGCCAGAACGACAGCGGCACUCUGGAGAACUC